Molecule: ribosomal RNA, 253 nt
Filed under: uncultured bacterium
Lineage: Bacteria
Description: partial 16S ribosomal RNA
Rfam family: Bacterial small subunit ribosomal RNA
Source: RNAcentral
UACGAAGGGAGCUAGCGUUGUUCGGAAUCACUGGGCGUAAAGCGCACGUAGGCGGAUGUGUCAGUCAGGGGUGAAAUCCCGGAGCUCAACUUCGGAACUGCCCUUGAUACAGCACGUCUUGAGUCCGGAAGAGGUGGGUGGAAUUCCUAGUGUAGAGGUGAAAUUCGUAGAUAUUAGGAAGAACACCAGAGGCGAAGGCGGCGCACUGGACAGCAACUGACACUCAACUGCGAAAGCGUGGGGAGCAAACAGG